Molecule: ribosomal RNA, 514 nt
Filed under: uncultured bacterium
Lineage: Bacteria
Description: bacterial SSU rRNA
Rfam family: Bacterial small subunit ribosomal RNA
Source: RNAcentral
AACGAACGCUGGCGGCGUGGAUAAGACAUGCAAGUCGAACGCUUGUUAAACGGUAGCAAUAUCGUUUGGCAGGAGUGGCGCAAGGGUGCGUAACACGUGGGUAAUUUGCCGUGAAGAUCGGGAUAACUUGCUGAAAGGCGAGCUAAUACCGGAUGUGACAAUUGGUUGGCAUCAAUUGAUUGUUAAAGUUGGGGACCGUAAGGCCUGACGUUUCACGAUAAGCCCGCGGCCUAUCAGCUAGUUGGUGAGGUAACGGCUCACCAAGGCUAAGACGGGUAGCUGGUCUGAGAGGACGACCAGCCACACUGGAACUGAGACACGGUCCAGACACCUACGGGUGGCAGCAGUCGAGAAUUUUUCUCAAUGGGCGAAAGCCUGAAGGAGCGACGCCGCGUGGGGGAUGAAGGGCUUCGGCUCGUAAACCCCUGUCAUUUGCGAACAAACCUCGUGAAUUUAAAAGAUGACGAGUUGAUUGUAGACGAAAGAGGAAGGGACGGCUAACUCUGUGCCAGCC